AUUGAACGCCGGCGGCAGGCUUAACACAUGCAAGUCGAGCGGGGUGAUGGUGCUUGCACUAUCACUUAGCGGCGGACGGGUGAGUAAUGCUUAGGAAUCUGCCUAUUAGUGGGGGACAACAUCUCGAAAGGGAUGCUAAUACCGCAUACGUCCUACGGGAGAAAGCAGGGGAUCACUUGUGACCUUGCGCUAAUAGAUGAGCCUAAGUCGGAUUAGCUAGUUGGGGGGGUAAAGGCCUACCAAGGCGACGAUCUGUAGCGGGUCUGAGAGGAUGAUCCGCCACACUGGGACUGGGACACGGCCCAGACUCCUACGGGAGGCAGCAGUGGGGAAUAGUGGACAAUGGGGGGAACCCUGAUCCAGCCAUGCCGCGUGUGUGAAGAAGGCCUUAUGGUUGUAAAGCACUUUAAGCGAGGAGGAGGCUCUUUUGGUUAAUACCCAAGAUGAGUGGACGUUACUCGCAGAAUAAGCACCGGCUAACUCUGUGCCAGCAGCCGCAGUAA
RNAcentral lists this ribosomal RNA (503 nucleotides) under uncultured bacterium. RNAcentral's name for it is "partial 16S ribosomal RNA". It matches the Rfam family "Bacterial small subunit ribosomal RNA", at positions 30 to 523 of the family's 1533-position model. The record is from RNAcentral.